GUGAGGAAUAUUGGUCAAUGGGCGAGAGCCUGAACCAGCCAAGUAGCGUGCAGGAUGACGGCCCUAUGGGUUGUAAACUGCUUUUACACGGGGAUAAAGUGUGCGACGUGUCGUUCAUUGCAGGUACCGUGCGAAUAAGGACCGGCUAAUUCCGUGCCAGCAGCCGCGGUAAUACGGAAGGUCCGGGCGUUAUCCGGAUUUAUUGGGUUUAAAGGGAGCGUAGGCCGUCUGUUAAGCGUGUUGUGAAAUGUAGAUGCUCAACAUCUGAAUUGCAGCACGAACUGACCGACUUGAGUGCGCAGGAAGUAGGCGGAAUUCGUGGUGUAGCGGUGAAAUGCUUAGAUAUCACGAAGAACUCCGAUUGCGAAGGCAGCUUACUGUAGCGCCACUGACGCUGAAGCUCGAAAGUGCGGGUAUCGAACAGGAUUAGAUACCCGUGUAGUCC
RNAcentral lists this ribosomal RNA (445 nucleotides) under uncultured bacterium. Its description in RNAcentral is "partial 16S ribosomal RNA". It matches the Rfam family "Bacterial small subunit ribosomal RNA", at positions 354 to 796 of the family's 1533-position model. The record is from RNAcentral.